ACGUAGGGGGCAAGCGUUGUCCGGAUUCAUUGGGCGUAAAGAGCUCGUAGGCGGUUCGAUAAGUCGGGUGUGAAACCUCCAGGCUCAACCUGGAGACGCCACCCGAUACUGUUGUGACUAGAGUCCAGUAGGGGAGCGUGGAAUUCCUGGUGUAGCGGUGAAAUGCGCAGAUAUCAGGAGGAACACCAGCGGCGAAGGCGGCGCUCUGGGCUGGAACUGACGCUGAGGAGCGAAAGCGUGGGGAGCGAACAGGAUUAGAUACCCUGGUAGUCCACGCCGUAAACGUUGGGUACUAGGUGUGGGGUCUUAUCAACGGAUUCCGUGCCGAAGCUAACGCAUUAAGUACCCCGCCUGGGGAGUACGGCCGCAAGGCUA
This 375-nucleotide ribosomal RNA is filed under the name uncultured bacterium. RNAcentral describes it as "bacterial SSU rRNA". It matches the Rfam family "Bacterial small subunit ribosomal RNA", at positions 525 to 896 of the family's 1533-position model. The record is from RNAcentral.